UACAUAGGUGGCAAGCGUUAUCCGGAAUAACUGGGCGUAAAGGGAGUGUAGGUGGUAUUGUAAGUUAUAUGUGAAAGACCAAGGCUCAACCAUGGAAUUGCAUAUAAGACUGCAGAACUAGAGUGGAAGAGAGGUAAGCGGAAUUCCUAGUGUAGCGGUAGAAUGCGUAGAGAUUAGGAAGAACACCAGAGGCGAAGGCGGCUUACUGGCUUCUAACUGACACUGAGGCUCGAAAGCGUGGGGAGCAAAC
This 250-nucleotide ribosomal RNA is filed under the name uncultured prokaryote. RNAcentral's name for it is "partial 16S ribosomal RNA". It matches the Rfam family "Bacterial small subunit ribosomal RNA", at positions 524 to 773 of the family's 1533-position model. The record is from RNAcentral.